UUAUCGAUUUGGUUAUUGUCCACAUAUUUCUUCAUUCGGGUUAUAUAGAAGCUUCAUAAUGUGCAAACUACAGAUUUUUGAGGAAUGGACAGUCCCUUGUUUGAUUUUUCUAGAAUUAUAACUUCUAUGAGAAACAUAAGCUAGGAGAAGGUGGUUUUUACCCUGUCUUCAAGGGUGUCCUACAAGACGGAACCAAAGUUGCUUCCAAACGGCUCUCUAAUACAUCUAAUCAAGGAACGGAUGAAUUUACAAAUGAAAUUCUUCUAAUCACGAGGUUUUAACACAAGAAUCUGGCCAGGCUAUUGGGAUUUUGUGUAGAGGGAGCUGAAAGGCUGAUCAUCUAUGAACUUAGGUCUUCUGGCGGCUUAGAUUCAUGGCUUUAUGAUCCACUAAACAGUGCACAGAUGACAUAGCCGGAGAAAACGACUUGACAUCAUCAAUGGGAUUGCUCAUGGAGUCCUUUAUCUGUACAAGGAUUCCCGACUGACAAUCAGAUACCGAUACUUAAAGCCUAGCAAAAACUGUUGGAUUCAAAUUUCAGACCUGAAUCCUAAGAUUUCAGACUUUGGAAAUGCCAGAAUCUAUGGAGCUGAAACUGAAGCAAGCACUGUCACUAUAAUUUGGUACAUAGUAUGUUCUUUUACCUGCUUAUUGAUUCUGCAACCAUGUCCUUUCCCUUUCGGUUUUCUUGAAUAGAUGACUAAUGCUACAAAAGAGGAGAUGGCAUCAUACUUGAAGCGUGGGUCCAUUGCUGGUGCUACUGGAAGCACUAAUACGAAUAGCCAGUCAAGGUACUUGCACACUAAUUUAAUUCCAAACCUUAAAGUUUAGUAAUUUUCAAACAUAUCCUGCUCGUUCCUGUCCACCUACAUUCUCCUCUGCCUCAAAAUGUUUUGCCUACCUUUGAAGUUUGUGAGUCACAACAGGGAAAUAUUUGGAGCGGAGGGAUUAUUAAUAUUGUGGUUGUUUGCCUUACUUUUUCUAGAGAAGUCAGCAAAAGCCUUGCUGAGAUGUUAUGGUUUCUUAUUAGAUUAAAAUAUUAUUUUUAGGUGAACCGAAGUUCUGUAAAGUUGGAUAUUUACAGGAAGUUCUCAAAUGCACUGGUUGUUUCAGUGAUUGCUUUAGUUGCAUGGAUAGUAUGCGAGUUUGGCCAACAAGCAUCGGGCGAAGUUUGAGUUAGUAACUCAUUUUUAUUGGUGUAUUUCAAGGCUACAUAUCCUUUUAAUGAGCGGUAGCAGAGUGCUUAGGUUAUCACUUCCUUUUGGGACAUUCUGGCAUUUGCAGUGCUAUGUAUAAUUUUAUAUCUAUGGACUCCAUCUCUUAGCUCUCAAAGAGCACUUUUUGGUUUCCAAAGUGAAAAAGGAUUGUUGAAGAAUAUCAAAAAGGGAGCACUAAGUGGAUACAUAUACAAUGUGCUUGGCAAAAGAAUGACAUGGAUUCUGGAUAUUAUGUCAUGAGAUACAUGAAAGAGAUCAUCGACCAUAAGCAAAGUCGAAUACUUGAAGAUUACUUUCAUGAUUGCAAUGUUUCAAAUUAUGAUCAAGGACAAAUUGAUGAAGUCAGAGCUCAAUGGACGCGUCAUGUUCUUCUCGUGUGAAUAUUGUAGUGGAUUAAUUAUGUUUUUCGACUGGAAUUUCUCUAGAACGUUUUAAUUUUAUUUUAUUGGUUUGAAAUGAAAAGAAAUACUAUAUGACAAGGAUACUUCUUUCUUUUUUCUAGUGUGUUUUUAUUCUACUGUGUAUUUAGGGACAUAUGAUUUUAAGUUAUGCAUGAGACAUCGAGACGUUUAUUUGAUAUGAUAGAAAUGAAGUAGGAUCUUAUA
Molecule: long non-coding RNA, 1822 nt
Organism: Spinacia oleracea (spinach)
Lineage: Eukaryota; Viridiplantae; Streptophyta; Magnoliopsida; Caryophyllales; Amaranthaceae
Exons: 8
Source: RefSeq, a predicted model, not a curated record